GAAUGUCCUCGUAUUGCAUCCCUCUUUUUUUCGGUUUUUCACUUUUUUGUUUUGCUAAAAAUGUAUGACUCUAUAACUUUUAGACCGUGGAGCCAAACUUAGCAUGCCAUACCUUUUCGGAAUGCCCAAAGAGAGUAAUCUGAUGAAUGAGGAAGGAAAAUGGAAUUCUUCUAUUGUUUUUUUUUUCUACUCCAAAUUUUGACCUCAAUGUACUUUUUCGGGCCUUUUCGUGAUCUUUGCUAUAGUACAGGGCGGAAAUUAUAUGUUCGGACAUUGUUUUCGAAUAUUUUGCAUAUAUCAAAGCUCUUCUAAACAAGAUAGGGUAUUCCUACAUAGCUGGUGGGACCCACGGCAAAUGGAUCAUAAAGUCUUCAAAAAAGAAUAGAUACGAUUGCAUUGCAUGUAGUAACGGAUGCGAUCAUACCAGCAUUAAUGCACCGGAUCCCAUCAGAACUCCGCAGUUAAGCGUGCUUGGGCGAGAGUAGUACUAGGAUGGGUGACCUCGAGGAAUGUCCUCGUAUUGCAUCCCUCUUUUUUUUCGGUUUUUCUCUUUUUUGUUUUGCUAAAAAUGUAUGACUCUAUAAAUUUUAGACCGUGAGGCCAAACUUGGCAUGCCAUACCUUUUCGGAAAGCCUAAUGAGAGCUCUCCGAUGAAUGAAGAAGGAAAAUGGAAUUCUUCUAUUGUUUUUUU
RNAcentral lists this small RNA (691 nucleotides) under Arabidopsis thaliana (thale cress). The record is from RNAcentral. Lineage: Eukaryota; Viridiplantae; Streptophyta; Magnoliopsida; Brassicales; Brassicaceae.